Molecule: ribosomal RNA, 720 nt
Filed under: Hypholoma myosotis
Lineage: Eukaryota; Fungi; Basidiomycota; Agaricomycetes; Agaricales; Strophariaceae
Description: eukaryotic LSU rRNA
Rfam family: 5.8S ribosomal RNA (bases 297-450)
Source: RNAcentral
GAGGAAGUAAAAGUCGUAACAAGGUUUCCGUAGGUGAACCUGCGGAAGGAUCAUUAUUGAAUGAACUUGACUUGGUUGCUGCUGGUCUUUUCGAAGGCAUGUGCACACCUCGUCAUCUUUAUAUCUCCACCUGUGCACCUUUUGUAGACCUGGAUCCAACUUUCCGAGGCAACUCGGUCGUGAGGAGUUGCUUUCACGAGCUCUCCUUGUUAGUUUCCAGGCCUAUGUUUUCAUAUACACCAUAAGAAUGUAACCGAACGUCAUUAUUAGGCUUUAAUGUCUUAUAAACUAUAUACAACUUUCAGCAACGGAUCUCUUGGCUCUCGCAUCGAUGAAGAACGCAGCGAAAUGCGAUAAGUAAUGUGAAUUGCAGAAUUCAGUGAAUCAUCGAAUCUUUGAACGCACCUUGCGCUCCUUGGUAUUCCGAGGAGCAUGCCUGUUUGAGUGUCAUUAAAUUCUCAACCUUUGUCAACUUUUUUGGUUGCCAAAUGGCUUGGAUGUGGGGGUAUGCAGGUUUCUCUUUGAAAUCAGCUCCUCUGAAAUAUAUUAGCUGGUUGCCUUGUGUAAACCUGUCUAUUGGUGUGAUAAUUAUCUACGCCGUGGACUGUUUUCCGUUUUUAGCACUGCUUCUAACCGUCUGUUCAUUCGGACAAUAUAUGACAAUUUGACCUCAAAUCAGGUAGGACUACCCGCUGAACUUAAGCAUAUCAAUAAGCCGGA